Centropristis striata (black sea bass) is the source of this 847-nucleotide long non-coding RNA. RefSeq lists it as uncharacterized. NCBI's taxonomy places the organism in Eukaryota, Metazoa, Chordata, Actinopteri, Perciformes, Serranidae. The record is from RefSeq and is a predicted model, not a curated record. The transcript is spliced from 3 exons.
CGGCAGAUUAGUUUGAUAUUACUCAGUUAAAUAACUAACUAGCCAGUGUCCAUGUUUAAUGGCUGGAUGUGUGUAAAUUAAACUUACUCUGGUAGUAGACUUAAACUUGGGGAUGACGAUCGAUUUCUUUGAGAGCGCUUUAUUUCUGUAAACAUGCUAAAACACUACGUUUAUUUAUAUACAGUCUAUGCGUUCACACUACGUAGCCUCAUGCUGCGUUCGAUUGCACUCGGAACUCGGAAAGAUUCGACCUUCGAGUCGGAAAAGUGCAAUAGAACGGUCCUUGAACUCGGGAUUCCGACUCGAGAAUUCGGGUAGGAUCCAAGCAGUCCGAGUAGGGCGGAGAAAUACCUGGAAAACAUCAAAGCAAAAUGGCGCCACACACCGUGAGAGAAGCGCGUGUUGUUGCUGAAGGGACUGAACGGCUGCGAGCUGAACAGACUGUCACUCUCCAGAUGUUGGCACAUGUUCUCCAGGAACCGCAGCACAGAAGACGCACUGGAGGCGGAGGGCAGCUUCACGUAGCGGAUACCAUGCUCUGACCGCACUGGAACGACAGCAUUACAGAGGGCUGGUACGUACAGUCCACGCAGGCCUGAACAGCCUGCUGCAGCACGGCGUUGACUGGAGCUGGGCCAAAGUGGUCCGGGAGCUGCUGUACUAGUUUUCUGUCCAGGUGUGGGCCAUAGUUACCAUGCUUGUUCACAUAGACACAUACUGCAAUAAUACAAAGAGAGGAAAAGGUCAUUGACAAAAAUUAAAGGCGACCUAUUAUGCUUUUCCUUAUUUUCUGUCCUAUAUUUAAUGUUAUAUUGUUGGAUGUUCAUAAUAAACAUGUUUUAAAUAA